This 253-nucleotide ribosomal RNA is filed under the name uncultured bacterium. RNAcentral's name for it is "partial 16S ribosomal RNA". It matches the Rfam family "Bacterial small subunit ribosomal RNA", at positions 100 to 353 of the family's 1533-position model. The record is from RNAcentral.
CACGGGUGAGUAACACGUAUCCAACCUGCCGUCUACUCUUGGACAGCCUUCUGAAGGAAGAUUAAUACAAGAUGGCAUCAUGAGUCCGCAUGUUCACAUGAUUAAAGGUAUUCCGGUAGACGAUGGGGAUGCGUUCCAUUAGAUAGUAGGCGGGGUAACGGCCCACCUAGUCUUCGAUGGAUAGGGGUUCUGAGAGGAAGGUCCCCCACAUUGGAACUGAGACACGGUCCAAACUCCUACGGGAGGCAGCAUG